Molecule: ribosomal RNA, 306 nt
Filed under: uncultured bacterium
Lineage: Bacteria
Description: partial 16S ribosomal RNA
Rfam family: Bacterial small subunit ribosomal RNA
Source: RNAcentral
GACAGCAGUCGCCACGGUAAUACGUAGGUGGCAAGCGUUGUCCGGAUUUAUUGGGCGUAAAGCGAGCGCAGGCGGUCAAUUAAGUCUGAUGUGAAAGCCCCCGGCUCAACCGGGGAGGGUCAUUGGAAACUGGUUGACUUGAGUGCAGAAGAGGAGAGUGGAAUUCCAUGUGUAGCGGUGAAAUGCGUAGAUAUAUGGAGGAACACCAGUGGCGAAGGCGACUCUCUGGUCUGUAACUGACGCUGAGGCUCGAAAGCGUGGGUAGCAAACAGGAUUAGAUACCCCCGUAGUCCCUGUCUCUUAUAC